ACAAACCCCCAGCAGCUUCUCCCUUUUCGCUUUGGACUACUGACUUGUAAGCUGGUCCCCCCCCUCCCCGAGGUGGGGGGUAGGAUGCAGUGAAAGGCCAGCCUGCAAGGCACAGUAUGUCUCGUUCCUAUAUGCUGAAUAUUACAGCAGAUAUUGGCGAAGUGGGUUAAGAGACACUGCUGUUUCAACAGUGAAGAAUGAAAAUGGGAAAGACCAUUCAAAUAAGCAAAUAAUUGAGACGCAGGGAGAAAAUAGUUUACAGGAACAGACUACUGGCAACUCCGGCUUCUCAGAUCUUGCUCUGAACAGCAUUCAUCGUACUUCCUCACCGGUUUACAUUUAGUCAAGUAUUUGGCCCUGUGCAGGAUGAUGCAGUUUUGUCCCAACUGUGACCUUUGAUCCUCUGAAGAGACUUCUGAGCUAUUCCAAUAGCAAGCAACCACCAGUUCCUUCCCAUGUUUGCCAAACAGGAGUCACCAAACUUUGUGGCAUCAUAAACUAGGGUAUCUGACAUGAACAAAGAACAUGCUGGAGACCAAGCCAAAAAUCUGAAAAUCAUUUAGCUGAGAAGCUCAGGCUGCCACAAUAAAACGCAAGAGCAGCCAGUGCAAGAUCUAACACAAUUACCAAUUGGAAAUCCCUUAUCUUAAACAUUAUACGAUUUCAGCUAUUUACCCUCCUUGUUUAUUGAAAAACAGUGAACAAAGAUGGCUGAUGAUCUCAUGGUGGGACCUAAUACUAGUUGUUUUACUAGGGGCUGUAGGACUCAGUAGAAGAGAAACUGCAAAGUCUGUUCACAAGAAAACAUUUUGUUCAUGUGACCACCAAGGAAAUAAUUCACAGCAAAAAAGAUGCAUUGGUUUUCAGAAUAGAUAAGCUGCAGAAUUCUAAAAAUUAAUACUGACAUGUUUCAUAAGUUUGGAAGAAGGUAAACUAUUUGUUUUACAGGGUAUUUUACGGUGUGUGGUUUUAAAAACAUAUUAGUGGCUAUCACUAAUUUACUUAGUAAGCCUUAUUGGACAUGAGAAAGCAAGGGACCAAGGGACUUGCUGUGUAGUCUUUUUUGGGAGGGGGAUUUCUAGUAAAGCAAGUCUACUCUAAAUGCGUACUCAAGAAAUCUGUGCGAUACAAGCACAAUGAACUUAAGAUGCAAGGAGAAACGCUGAAAUUAUGUUGCUUCAACAAGCUGAAGUAGCAGUUUAUCUCAGAACUUUGGUCAGCUGCUUUCCCAUUUGUGUGCCUUCAUAACAGACUGUGUACCUCUAAUAACAGCCUCUAAUGUCAGGAAAAAUACUUUUAAUACUUAAAAUAAAAGUAUUUUAAAAGACCAAAUCUCUGGAGAGUCUCCCUAGAGCAGUACUUUUUCUAUCCUUUUCAGUUUGUGGUCACCUAAACUGUUUUCACAAAUCAAAACCCACUUCUUUUGAAGUUGUCCAGUGACACCCAGGGGGUCCAUGAACCACAGGCUGAAAACUACUGCUUGGGUUAAAUGAAAGGAGAGCACACAACAAGCACUCUCCCCUAUUUAGCAGUUCCUGAAUGUAAAGUCUUAAAGCAAAAUGAAGUCUCUCAGCUCCAAUUCUUUCUCCCUUUCAUCUCUUUCUCUGACUCAGAGUCUGUGGUUUCCCGGACCCUGUGAGCACGUAAGUUUCAAUAGCUAAAGUGUUGAUCUGCUCCAGGAUACCAAACAGCUAACGUUUUGCCUUCUGGCAGAGGUUUUGUCAGCUCACUCUUCGGAGCAGAAUGGAAUAAUCUGACUUUCUGACCUUUAGAGACUUCUGCAGUCUUUACAGUAAUUUCUUCAAUGUGCCCUCUUCUACAGCAGCAACUAUGGUGCCUUUUUCUACCCCAUUUCUUCAAGGAAACCACUUUGAUGAUCUUGCAUUUGCUGAUGAUCAACAUGUUGAAGAUAUUAGCUGUAAUUAGGAAGAAAGCCCUCUACGUUUAACACCAUAUACAAAUUAAUUGUAUCAGAUUUCCUGAUUAGUCUCUUUGGUAGCAUUCCUUCAGAGAUGCUUGCUUCAGCCAUACAGCACAUACUGCAAUGACAAACAUAAUCUGCCUGGAACGCUAGGCUGAAAUAUCCUAUUGAUAAGAUGCUCAGAGCAUCUAGGAGUCUACAAAGCAAGUUAAGUAAAUUAAUCCUUCACUCAAGAAACAGUGACAGUUAAUGAAGUUUAGAUCUCCUCUUGAUUAAAAUGCUGUACCAUGUUAUGUAUUGUUUACUAAACUUUACUAUUGGAAACAGUCACAAACAGGAAGCCCAUGGUCUGUUUUCAUCACUGGUAUCUUGGUCUGUAUUUGGACGACAAGGUUAUUUUUGUUUGCUGGCUGCAAGGGUACAGAUGUAGCAGCAUUUCAGGUGUAUUACUCUAUUUUCUUAAAAUUGCUUUGACAGAAGUUUCUGCUAUUUUUGAAAUAUAUCUGUAUAGAAAGAUAGGAUUCAUAAAAUGUACGUGUUCCAUUGCAAGUAAUCUCUUUUGUUAAUAUAUUUUGCCUUGAAGGAAGAGAGGCACAGAUUUUUAGGAAUUCUGGAAAUCCAUUAAUAAAUCUCUUUCAGUUUCUUCA
Long non-coding RNA from Aquila chrysaetos chrysaetos, 2568 nucleotides. RefSeq lists it as uncharacterized. NCBI's taxonomy places the organism in Eukaryota, Metazoa, Chordata, Aves, Accipitriformes, Accipitridae. The transcript is spliced from 3 exons. The record is from RefSeq and is a predicted model, not a curated record.